GCUGGAGAACUAAAGAGGCUGAGUCUGACAAAGGAAGACUUUGCUGAUACAAUCGUCCUAGCAAAAGGGUUGGAGAGAGCGGGAAAGCUGUGAAGGAUGUUCUGAUUAUAGUGGGAGUACCUGUCCUGAGAGAUCCCCUCCAGGA
Non-coding RNA from Diceros bicornis minor, 145 nucleotides. RefSeq annotates it as small Cajal body-specific RNA 4. The transcript has a single exon. The record is from RefSeq and is a predicted model, not a curated record. Lineage: Eukaryota; Metazoa; Chordata; Mammalia; Perissodactyla; Rhinocerotidae.